Molecule: ribosomal RNA, 325 nt
Filed under: uncultured eukaryote
Lineage: Eukaryota
Description: partial 18S ribosomal RNA
Rfam family: Eukaryotic small subunit ribosomal RNA
Source: RNAcentral
CCCUUAGAUGUUCUGGGCCGCACGCGUGCUACACUGAGUGGAUCAGCGGGUCAGGUUGCGCGAAAGUGUUUCCUAAUCUUUAAAUCCGCUCGUGAUGGGGAUUGACGGUUGCAAUUUUCCGUCAUGAACGAGGAUUGCCUUGUAAGCGCACGUCAUCAGCGUGCAUUGAAUACGACCCUGUAUUCUGUACACACCGCCCGUCGCUCCUACCGAUUGAAGUUUUCGGUGAGUUGACAGGAGGAUUUUUUUGAAACUGGUUCGCCAGUGGAUUUUAGAUCCAAAUGCCAACGAAUCGAUGGCUUUAGAGGAAGGAGAAGUCGUAACA